UUUGGUCGAUUAUAUUUCUUUGAUCCCUUUAUUUAUUGGACUAGCGACAUCAAGAUAUAGAUAAAUUUUGUCAUCAACCACUAUACUCACAAUAAAGUUCAGUUAAAGCCAUUUAAUUUCAUAUAUAUUUGUUAUGGUCUAUCUCUUUUAGUUUAAAAGAUAAAAGGGGCCACUUCUAGGUGGGACACCCUGUUUGAAUGACCCUGUUUGAAUGGAUGUUGCUCGCAAAUGUUAAAUAAUAACUCCAUGGAAACUCCAUGGUGUACGAUUUAGGAAAUCACGUAUUGGCAACUUUCCCUAUUUAUCAUUUAUUAAUAAAAAUGUUUCAGCAAGUAAAAGUCAUAUGAGCAGCAAGUAAAAGUCACGGCCAAAGUUGGCUUUCUGAAAACGCUCGGCUAUUUGUCAUAAGUUUUAAAAAGUUGAAAAUGAAUCAAUAGCGAAUUCGGGAGAUGCCAAAGGUGACAUAUGAUCACAGACUAAAAUUAAUUUAAUAUAAUGUCAACCGAUCAGUCGAGAUCGAUAUGCGUGGCUGGAACGAGAGUGUGAUGUGAAAACGUGGUACAUGUAUGAUUUUCAACAUUUUUCGCCAUGAAGUACCGCUAUGAAAAAUUUGGAAAAAGUAGAUGUUAAAGCAGACAUUUUAAGGUUUUCUUUAAAAAAAAAUUG
RNAcentral lists this long non-coding RNA (666 nucleotides) under Camponotus floridanus (Florida carpenter ant). Its description in RNAcentral is "uncharacterized LOC112638419, transcript variant X1". Lineage: Eukaryota; Metazoa; Arthropoda; Insecta; Hymenoptera; Formicidae. The record is from RNAcentral.